GAAUAUUGCGCAAUGGACGAAAGUCUGACGCAGCCACGCCGCGUGCAGGAAGACACCCCUCUGGGGCGUAAACUGCUUUUGUACGGGAAGAACACCCUACUCGGUAGGGUCUGACGGUACCGUACGAAUAAGGACCGGCUAACUCCGUGCCAGCAGCCGCGGUAAUACGGAGGGUCCAAGCGUUGUCCGGAAUCACUGGGUGUAAAGGGUGCGCAGGCGGGCCUGUAAGUCAGGGGUGAAAGCCAUCGGCUCAGCCGAUGAAUUGCCCUUGAUACUGCAGGUCUUGAGUCUCGGAGAGGUUGGCGGAAUUCGUGGUGUAGCGGUGAAAUGCGUAGAUAUCACGAGGAACACCGGAAGUGUAGACGGCCAACUGGACGAGUACUGACGCUGAGGCACGAAAGCGUGGGGAGCGAACAGG
RNAcentral lists this ribosomal RNA (418 nucleotides) under uncultured bacterium. Its description in RNAcentral is "bacterial SSU rRNA". It matches the Rfam family "Bacterial small subunit ribosomal RNA", at positions 359 to 776 of the family's 1533-position model. The record is from RNAcentral.